GAUGAACGCUGGCGGCGUGCCUAAUACAUGCAAGUCGAGCGAACAGAUGAGGAGCUUGCUCCUCUGACGUUAGCGGCGGACGGGUGAGUAACACGUGGAUAACCUACCUAUAAGACUGGGAUAACUUCGGGAAACCGGAGCUAAUACCGGAUAAUAUAUUGAACCGCAUGUUCAAUAGUGAAAGACGGUUUUGCUGUCACUUAUAGAUGGAUCCGCGCCGCAUUAGCUAGUUGGUAAGGUAACGGCUUACCAAGGCAACGAUGCGUAGCCGACCUGAGAGGGUGAUCGGCCACACUGGAACUGAGACACGGUCCAGACUCCUACGGGAGGCAGCAGUAGGGAAUCUUCCGCAAUGGGCGAAAGCCUGACGGAGCAACGCCGCGUGAGUGAUGAAGGUCUUCGGAUCGUAAAACUCUGUUAUUAGGGAAGAACAAAUGUGUAAGUAACUAUGCACGUCUUGACGGUACCUAAUCAGAAAGCCACGGCUAACUACGUG
This 496-nucleotide ribosomal RNA is filed under the name uncultured bacterium. RNAcentral's name for it is "partial 16S ribosomal RNA". It matches the Rfam family "Bacterial small subunit ribosomal RNA", at positions 28 to 507 of the family's 1533-position model. The record is from RNAcentral.